Molecule: ribosomal RNA, 254 nt
Filed under: uncultured bacterium
Lineage: Bacteria
Description: partial 16S ribosomal RNA
Rfam family: Bacterial small subunit ribosomal RNA
Source: RNAcentral
UACGUAGGGUGCGAGCGUUGUCCGGAAUUAUUGGGCGUAAAGAGCUCGUAGGCGGUGUGUCACGUCGUUCGUGAAAACCUGCAGCUUAACUGUGGGCGUGCGGUCGAUACGGGCAUCACUGGAGUUCGGCAAGGGAGACUGGAAUUCCUGGUGUAGCGGUGAAAUGCGCAGAUAUCAGGAAGAACACCAAUGGCGAAAGCAGCUUUCUGGGACGGUACUGACGCUGAGACGCGAAAGCGUGGGGAGCGAACAGG